UCCCUGGUAGUCCAGUGGUUAAGACUCCACACUUCCAUUGGAAGGAGACGUGGGUUUGAUCCCUACUCAGGGAA
RNAcentral lists this transfer RNA (74 nucleotides) under Ovis aries (sheep). It matches the Rfam family "tRNA". From Rfam's summary of the family: Transfer RNA (tRNA) molecules are approximately 80 nucleotides in length. Their secondary structure includes four short double-helical elements and three loops (D, anti-codon, and T loops). Further hydrogen bonds mediate the characteristic L-shaped molecular structure. tRNAs have two regions of fundamental functional importance: the anti-codon, which is responsible for specific mRNA codon recognition, and the 3' end, to which the tRNAs corresponding amino acid is attached (by aminoacyl-tRNA synthetases). tRNAs cope with the degeneracy of the genetic code in two manners: having more than one tRNA (with a specific anti-codon) for a particular amino acid; and 'wobble' base-pairing, i.e. permitting non-standard base-pairing at the 3rd anti-codon position. Lineage: Eukaryota; Metazoa; Chordata; Mammalia; Artiodactyla; Bovidae. The record is from Rfam by way of RNAcentral.